CUACGGGACGCACCAGUGAGGAAUUUUGCGCAAUGGGGGCAACCCUGACGCAGCAACGCCGCGUGAGUGAAGAAGGCCUUUGGGUCGUAAAGCUCUGUCAACUGGGAAGAAAUUAGCAUCAAUUAAUAGUUGUUGUUAUUGACGGUACCAGUGGAGGAAGCGCCGGCUAACUCCGUGCCAGCAGCCGCGGUAACACGGGGGGCGCAAGCGUUAUUCGGAAUUAUUGGGCGUAAAGGGCGCGCAGGCGGUCUUGUCAGUCAGGUGUGAAAGCCCGGGGCUCAACCCUGGAAGUGCACUUGAAACAGCAAGACUUGAGUACGGGAGAGGAAAGCGGAAUUCCUGGUGUAGAGGUGAAAUUCGUAGAUAUCAGGAGGAACACCGAUGGCGAAGGCAGCUUUCUGGACCGAUACUGACGCUGAGGCGCGAAGGCGUGGGUAGCGAACGGGAUUAGAUACCCGGGUAGUC
This 465-nucleotide ribosomal RNA is filed under the name uncultured bacterium. RNAcentral's name for it is "partial 16S ribosomal RNA". It matches the Rfam family "Bacterial small subunit ribosomal RNA", at positions 339 to 795 of the family's 1533-position model. The record is from RNAcentral.